CCUACGGGCGGCUGCAGUGGGGAAUAAUGCACAAUGGGCGCAAGCCUGAUGCAGCCAUGCCGCGUGUGUGAAGAAGGCCUUCGGGUUGUAAAGCACUUUCAGCGGGGAGGAAGGCGUUAAGGUUAAUAACCUUGUCGAUUGACGUUACCCGCAGAAGAAGCACCGGCUAACUCCGUGCCAGCAGCCGCGGUAAUACGGAGGGUGCAAGCGUUAAUCGGAAUUACUGGGCGUAAAGCGCACGCAGGCGGUCUGUCAAGUCGGAUGUGAAAUCCCCGGGCUCAACCUGGGAACUGCAUUCGAAACUGGCAGGCUAGAGUCUUGUAGAGGGGGGUAGAAUUCCAGGUGUAGCGGUGAAAUGCGUAGAGAUCUGGAGGAAUACCGGUGGCGAAGGCGGCCCCCUGGACAAAGACUGACGCUCAGGUGCGAAAGCGUGGGGAGCAAACAGGAUUAGAUACCCCAGUAGUC
RNAcentral lists this ribosomal RNA (465 nucleotides) under uncultured Klebsiella sp. RNAcentral describes it as "bacterial SSU rRNA". It matches the Rfam family "Bacterial small subunit ribosomal RNA", at positions 338 to 795 of the family's 1533-position model. Lineage: Bacteria; Pseudomonadati; Pseudomonadota; Gammaproteobacteria; Enterobacterales; Enterobacteriaceae. The record is from RNAcentral.